UACGGAGGAUGCAAGCGUUAUCCGGAAUUAUUGGGCGUAAAGAGUCCGUAGGUGGCGAUUCAAGUCUGCUGUCAAAGCGUGGAGCUUAACUCCAUUAAGGCAGUGGAAACUGAAUGGCUAGAGUCCGGUAGGGGUAGCGGGAAUUCCCAGUGUAGCGGUGAAAUGCGUAGAGAUUGGGAAGAACAUCGGUGGCGAAAGCGCGCUACUGGGCCGGAACUGACACUGAGGGACGAAAGCUAGGGGAGCGAAAGGG
Molecule: ribosomal RNA, 253 nt
Filed under: uncultured bacterium
Lineage: Bacteria
Description: partial 16S ribosomal RNA
Rfam family: Bacterial small subunit ribosomal RNA
Source: RNAcentral